Molecule: ribosomal RNA, 253 nt
Filed under: uncultured bacterium
Lineage: Bacteria
Description: partial 16S ribosomal RNA
Rfam family: Bacterial small subunit ribosomal RNA
Source: RNAcentral
UACAGAGGUCUCAAGCGUUGUUCGGAUUCAUUGGGCGUAAAGGGUGCGUAGGUUGCGGGGUUAGUCAGGUGUGAAAUCUCGGGGCUCAACCCCGAAACUGCACUUGAUACUGCCUUGCUAGAGUACUGGAGAGGAGAUUGGAAUUUACGGUGUAGCAGUGAAAUGCGUAGAUAUCGUAAGGAAGACCAGUGGCGAAGGCGAAUCUCUGGACAGUUACUGACACUGAGGCACGAAGGCCAGGGGAGCAAACGGG